Molecule: long non-coding RNA, 1007 nt
Filed under: Monodelphis domestica (gray short-tailed opossum)
Lineage: Eukaryota; Metazoa; Chordata; Mammalia; Didelphimorphia; Didelphidae
Description: lncRNA (ENSMODG00000033152.2)
Source: RNAcentral
GGGUUUUGCUAAGUGUAAGAGUUAAAGUUGGGGGACACUGAGGCAGUAUAAAUUAGUUUCUCUCUGCAAGGAGUAUUAUAUUUUUAGAGGUUUAUUAAAGGAUUAAAGAAAAUACAGAAUAAGAGAACACGUGUCUAGGCCUCUGGCCUAGACAACCUCACCUACAUUAUGAAAAGAGUCUGCGUGUAAGCUGAAACAGGAAAGAAAAGAGAGGCCCAGAAGCCUUUCCAAUCAGGUUAAAUACCCCAUCUUGAUCUCGGCCCAGGUGAGAAUUCCGUGAUAUUACAAAGCAUUCUGGGGAAGUGGAGCAAGGACUUCUGGGGAUUGAAGUCCUGGACUCAAGUCUCCAUUUUUACAUAAGUUAGUGACAGGAGUAUGAAUCCUGUCAGACUGUCAGACUGCCUUGGGUGGAACCUUGUGCUAAGGUCUUGCUUAGGAAUUCUGAGACACCCAAGGAAUUGGAAGUUCUGUUAAGCCCAACUGUCUCUCUCUGCUGGUGUUCCCUGCCCAGAGAGAAGGCUAAAGCUUUGGCUCCUGGGAAUUCCUUGAACUGGCCUGACAGUUUUGGAAAGAAGAGAAAGUUGGAAGUUUUGGGAAGAGCUGUGAAAGGAACAAAUAGAGCAACCUGGUUCUAUGGCAUCUGCAGAGUGCUACACCAACAGACAAAACAAGGUGUCAACCCGCCUCAUGUGUGUUUGUUGAAGACAACAUAUGGUAGGGUUUUGGAUUCUAAUCCAUUCUGCUAUUCGUCUACGUUUUAUGGGUGAGUUCAUCCAAUUCACAUUCAAAGUUAUGACUGUCAUUUGUGGACUCCCUGGCAUUUUGAUAUUCUUCCCUGGUUCUAACCUUUUCUUCUUCGGCUCUACCUUUUAGUCCAGUGAUUUACUUUAAAUUGGUCCCCCUUGUCCCCUCCCUUGAUAUGUUUCCCUUUUUAGUCCCUCCCUUUUUGUUCCCUCCCCUUCCCCCCCUCUCUUUCCCUCCCCUUUUGUUUUCCCUCUCGCCCUCCC